This is a non-coding RNA of Pongo abelii (Sumatran orangutan), 315 nucleotides long. Lineage: Eukaryota; Metazoa; Chordata; Mammalia; Primates; Hominidae. The record is from Rfam.
GGAUGUGAGGGCGAUCUGGCUGCAACAUCUGUCACCCCAUUGAUUGCCAGGGUUGAUUCGGCUGAUCUAGCUGGCUAGGAGGGUGUCUUCUUCCUGCCUCACCGCUUCACCAUGUGCGUCCCUCCCGAAAGCUGCGCGCUCUGUGGAAGAGGACGACCAUCCCCGAUAGAGGAGGGCGGGUCUUCCGUCAAGGGUAUAUGAGUAGCUGCGCCCCCUGCUAGAACCUCCAAGCAAGCUCUUAGGAAUCGGCAACACGGAGAAGGUAAGAAACUUUCCCAAGGACAGUAGACACCUUGGGUUUGCUCUGGGCAGUCU